Molecule: ribosomal RNA, 210 nt
Filed under: uncultured bacterium
Lineage: Bacteria
Description: partial 16S ribosomal RNA
Rfam family: Bacterial small subunit ribosomal RNA
Source: RNAcentral
UACGAAGGGGGCUAGCGUUGCUCGGAAUCACUGGGCGUAAAGCGCACGUAGGCGGAUCUUUAAGUCAGGGGUGAAAUCCUGGAGCUCAACUCCAGAACUGCCUUCGAUACUGGAGAGCUUGAGUCCGGGAGAGGUGAGUGGAACUGCGAGUGUAGAGGUGAAAUUCGUAGAUAUUCGCAAGAACACCAGUGGCGAAGGCGGCUCAGCUGG